This 1103-nucleotide long non-coding RNA is filed under the name Marmota monax (woodchuck). Lineage: Eukaryota; Metazoa; Chordata; Mammalia; Rodentia; Sciuridae. The record is from RNAcentral.
CAUUCACUGUAACAUAUAAAAUUUUUGAAAAAAAAAGUCAUUUAUGUAUAUGAACAGGUAUUUUUGUUUGAAUAUGUAUAACUUUUAAAAUAGAAAUAUAAUGUGUUUGCUUUAUAGAUUGAAAAAAAUUGGCAUUUUCAUUCCCAUAUGUACUACCCAUAUGGGUAUAAACUCUAAGACAUUGCUUAAAAUAAAUAAGGAAAUAUAUCUACUAAAUUUUGUAGAGGGCAUUCCUAUAAUUAUAAACCAUCUCUGAAAAUUGUAUGUCAUUAAAAUAUGGUUUUAAUAGCCUCUACUUAGUAAACAUUAUUCUAUUUCAUAUGUAAAUCUAAAUGUAUAACUUGAGGGGGAAAUGAUUUCUGUUCAUAUUAUUUUUAAUGGACUAACAUUCUGUAAUUUUAGAGCUGAAAGAGUUCUUAGAGGGUUUUACCUGUGUCCUUCAGAAAUUUUUGUUAACAAGUUAACUUUCAAGGGAUCUACAUUUUACAUGGUACUCUACUAAUGGUCAGAUUUCAUCUUAUCCAAAUUUAGCAUGCAGUUUUCUUUAUUCAAGCUUUCUCUAGAAUACAGUGCUGCUGGGAAGUGUGCUGUGACAGUUUUCAAGAAUUUUUAAUGAGAGUUAAUUUGAAUGCUCAAGUUCUAAAAUAUUAAUGAUGUUCAAGAGAACUCUUUAGCUCUAAAAUUUAGACUUUUGUCUUCUGAAUUGAAGAAUUAAUUAAUGUUCUACCUUAAAUAUAAUUCAAAUUUUAAUAAAUAUAAUGAUAUAAAGAAGACUUUGAUGUAUACAUUUGCUCUUUUACAUAUGUAAAUGCCUAUUGAGGCUUGAAUUUCUCAGUGUGACUAAAAGUCUUAAUAUGCUGAAUAAUUAAAUAGUAUAGCUUAUAUUUAUUUCUCAUAUUUUUCUCAGUAUCAUUUUGUUAAACAUAAUUUCUCUAAUCAUAACUGAUUUCUGGUGUUCAUUUUCAUUGUGUUCCCAGAUUAAAUGUGUGUUUCAAAAGUUUCAAGAGCAUUAUUGGAUGAUGGAAGAAUACUAUUAUAAUCCUAUUAUAGUUAUAAUUAAAAAUAUUAGUUUAAAUAAACUGUAAUUAUCUUGUUAAUAUUGA